Non-coding RNA from Gracilinanus agilis (Agile Gracile Mouse Opossum), 480 nucleotides. NCBI's taxonomy places the organism in Eukaryota, Metazoa, Chordata, Mammalia, Didelphimorphia, Didelphidae. The record is from the annotation of a RefSeq genome assembly.
AUGGGUUUUGGAUUAAUUGGAAUUUUCAUUCUAUCUAUUUUGCAAGGUGUCCAUUGUGAUAUUCAGCUCUUGGAGUCUGGGGGAGAUGUGAGACAGUCUGGAGGAUCCCUGAAACUCUCUUGCAAAGCUUCUGGUUUUGACUUCAGCAGCUAUUACAUGAGUUGGCUCCGCCAGGCUCCAGGGAAGGAGCCUGAGUGGAUCUCAUACAUUAGUAGUGAUGGAAGUGGCACAGGCUACGUAUCUUCUCUGAAACCCCGAUUCACCAUCUCCAGGGACAAUGGCAACAGCCUGCUGCACCUGCAGAUGAAGUCCCUGAAAGCUGAGGACACAGCCAUGUAUUACUGUGCAAGAGGCACAGUGAGGGAGAGGAGUGAGAGAGCAGAAAAAAACCUCUUUCUUUGGAGAGGCCUUGUGGAGAAUGACUCAGAGAGGGAAGUCAAGAAUAUCCAGUAUAAGGAGAUCAGUUAUAAUAACAGGUGA